UGCAAGUCGAGCGGUAGCACAGGGGAGCUUGCUCCCUGGGUGACGAGCGGCGGACGGGUGAGUAAUGUCUGGGAAACUGCCUGAUGGAGGGGGAUAACUACUGGAAACGGUAGCUAAUACCGCAUAACGUCGCAAGACCAAAGAGGGGGACCUUCGGGCCUCUUGCCAUCAGAUGUGCCCAGAUGGGAUUAGCUAGUAGGUGGGGUAAUGGCUCACCUAGGCGACGAUCCCUAGCUGGUCUGAGAGGAUGACCAGCCACACUGGAACUGAGACACGGUCCAGACUCCUACGGGAGGCAGCAGUGGGGAAUAUUGCACAAUGGGCGCAAGCCUGAUGCAGCCAUGCCGCGUGUGUGAAGAAGGCCUUCGGGUUGUAAAGCACUUUCAGCGAGGAGGAAGGUGGUGAACUUAAUACGUUCAUCAAUUGACGUUACUCGCAGAAGAAGCACCGGCUAACUCCGUGCCAGCAGCCGCGGUAAUACGGAGGGUGCAAGCGUU
This 497-nucleotide ribosomal RNA is filed under the name Serratia marcescens. RNAcentral describes it as "bacterial SSU rRNA". It matches the Rfam family "Bacterial small subunit ribosomal RNA", at positions 56 to 542 of the family's 1533-position model. Lineage: Bacteria; Pseudomonadati; Pseudomonadota; Gammaproteobacteria; Enterobacterales; Yersiniaceae. The record is from RNAcentral.